CAGCUAGUUGGCGGGGUAAAGGCCCACCAAGGCGACGAUCCGUAGCUGGUCUGAGAGGAUGAUCAGCCACACUGGGACUGAGACACGGCCCAGACUCCUACGGGAGGCAGCAGUGGGGAAUAUUGGACAAUGGGGGCAACCCUGAUCCAGCAAUGCCGCGUGUGUGAAGAAGGCCUUCGGGUUGUAAAGCACUUUUAUCCGGAACGAAACGCGCAGGGUGAAUAUCCUUGCGAACUGACGGUACCGGAGGAAUAAGCACCGGCUAACUUCGUGCCAGCAGCCGCGGUAAUACGAAGGGUGCAAGCGUUACUCGGAAUUACUGGGCGUAAAGGGUGCGUAGGUGGUUGUUUAAGUCUGUUGUGAAAGCCCCGGGCUCAACCUGGGAAUGGCAAUGGAUACUGGACAGCUAAAGUGCGGUAGAGGGUAGUGGAAUUCCCGGUG
RNAcentral lists this ribosomal RNA (441 nucleotides) under uncultured Gammaproteobacteria bacterium. RNAcentral describes it as "SSU rRNA". It matches the Rfam family "Bacterial small subunit ribosomal RNA", at positions 242 to 675 of the family's 1533-position model. Lineage: Bacteria; Pseudomonadati; Pseudomonadota; Gammaproteobacteria. The record is from RNAcentral.